GGCGCCCACGGAUAUCCCAGUCAGGAGCCAGAGCCCGACCCGUGAUAAAUUCCCCAGGUGUGGGUGGCAAACCAAACAUGCUGGAGAUUGGCGGCCCAUGGAGAUCAUCUGCUCUUUUCAUCAAGGUGAAAAAGACUUUCCAGAUGGCUCACUAUAGAAGAUGCAGUUCUAAGAAGAAGAAUAAACUAUCUCAUUCAGGCAUUGUUACAUUUGUUUAAAUAUUGCCCACUGGUAAUAAACACACAAGACUAAUGUUGUAAAUCUCUUACACAAAGUCUUGUCUCCUU
Molecule: long non-coding RNA, 287 nt
Organism: Aplysia californica (California sea hare)
Lineage: Eukaryota; Metazoa; Mollusca; Gastropoda; Aplysiida; Aplysiidae
Exons: 2
Source: RefSeq, a predicted model, not a curated record